CGAUUUUCGUCGACGCAAACAGUUUGACAGUUCUCUUCAGCUGGUCUUGUUUGGACUUGAUUGCAACCGAAUCGAACCCGUUAUUGUUGAUGUUGGGCUUCGGAAGGAUUUUGACCGGUUGAUAGAUAUUCAGAAUUCGGUCUUCGUGGCGGUGGAGGAGGAGGACGAGACGCAUGAAUCCGGCGGGCCAGGUCUUCGUGGCGGAAGACGGGACCGGAAGGAACCGAGCUUAUGGAGGAUAUGGUUCAUUCCAAAGGAGGAGGAGGAUGAAACACCGAGUGUCAAAAGUUCUACCCAAGGUAACCAAAAAUUUUCCAAUCUGAUCCUGCUAACAAACCAGCGUCUUUGUGUUGUCCCACGCAGUUUGUUGAACGGAAGCUGUAACGACCGCAAAAACAUCUGCUCCGGAAGUGCGUAAACCGACGUUGUCCCGUACUCCGGUGGCCAUCAAUCCAUGGGACAUAAACGGUGGCGCCGCAUCGGCUCGAAAAGAUGGCUGGCAAAUUCCGGACCCGGAAGACAACGCCAAAAACUUCCGGCCAAGAUGCCGAGCGAUGAGCUGAAAGACCAACUGGAAGACAACGCCAAAAACUACGUGGAGAUCGCGACACACAAGUAAAAUUAAUGAAUGUAUUUUAAAUCGAGUGAAAAAGUGAAAUUUACAAUAAAAAUACAUCUAAAAAUAAAUAAAAAUAAAACAAAUAUCUAUUUUUUACUGCAACAUAACCUAAAAACCCGAAAUGACAUCACACGACAAAGGCACGACAUCCUAAAUAACAAAACCGUGCGACGUCGGUCGAAUGUCGUACGACAAUGUCGUACAAUUUCGAUCAUCGAUCGCACGACAAAUACGACA
This is a long non-coding RNA of Culex pipiens pallens (northern house mosquito), 856 nucleotides long. RefSeq lists it as uncharacterized. The record is from RefSeq and is a predicted model, not a curated record. Lineage: Eukaryota; Metazoa; Arthropoda; Insecta; Diptera; Culicidae. The transcript is spliced from 3 exons.